GGCUACAGAACUAACGCUGGCGGCGCGUCUUUAAACAUGCAAGUCGAACGGUAGUCCUUGAGCUUGCUUAGGGAUGAGAGUGGCGAACGGGUGAGUAACACGUGGAUAAUCUGCCUCCGGGUUGGGGAUAACUGUCCGAAAGGAUAGCUAAUCCGAAUGAGAUGGCGGUUACAUAAGUAGCAGCCAUUAAAGUGGGGACCGCAAGGCCUACUGCCUGGAGAUGAGUCCGCGGCUGAUUAGCUAGUUGGUGGGGUAACGGCCUACCAAGGCGACGAUCAGUAGCCGGCCUGAGAGGGUGAACGGCCACAUUGGGACUGAGAUACGGCCCAGACUCCUACGGGAGGCAGCAGUUAAGAAUCUUGCACAAUGGGCGCAAGCCUGAUGCAGCGACGCCGCGUGAAUGAUGAAGGCCUUCGGGUUGUAAAGUUCAGUAAGCAGGGAAGAAUAAGCAAGGGGUAAUAUUUCUUGUGAUGACGGUACCUGCCUAAAGCCCCGGCUAACUACGUG
This 507-nucleotide ribosomal RNA is filed under the name uncultured bacterium. RNAcentral describes it as "bacterial SSU rRNA". It matches the Rfam family "Bacterial small subunit ribosomal RNA", at positions 26 to 507 of the family's 1533-position model. The record is from RNAcentral.